GGGUUGUAGGAAUACAUCGGAAUCUACCUUUUGGUGGGUUAUAACGUAGGGAAACUUACGCUAAUACCGCAUACGCCCUUCGGGGGAAAGCCGGGGACCUUCGGGCCUGGCGCUGAUAGAUGAGCCGAUGUCGGAUUAGCUAGUUGGUGAGGUAAUGGCUCACCAAGGCGACGAUCCGUAGCUGGUCUGAGAGGAUGAUCAGCCACACUGGAACUGAGACACGGUCCAGACUCCUACGGGAGGCAGCAGUGGGGAAUAUUGGACAAUGGGCGCAAGCCUGAUCCAGCCAUACCGCGUGGGUGAAGAAGGCCUUCGGGUUGUAAAGCCCUUUUGUUGGGAAAGAAAAGCGAUCGGUUAAUACCCGGUUGUUCUGACGGUACCCAAAGAAUAAGCACCGGCUAACUUCGUGCCAGCAGCCGCGGUAAUACGAAGGGUGCAAGCGUUACUCGGAAUUACUGGGCGUAAAGCGUGCGUAGGUGGUGGUUUAAGUCCGUUGUGAAAGCCCUGGGCUCAACCUGGGAAUUGCAGUGGAUACUGGGUCACUAGAGUGUGGUAGAGGAUAGUGGAAUUUCCGGUGUAGCAGUGAAAUGCGUAGAGAUCGGAAGGAACAUCUGUGGCGAAGGCGACUAUCUGGGCCAACACUGACACUGAGGCACAAAAGCGUGGGGGAGCCAAACAGGAAUUACAUACCCCUGGUAGUCCACCCCCCCUAAACGAAUGCCAACUGGGAAUGUUUGGG
This 739-nucleotide ribosomal RNA is filed under the name Bacterium PE_IPFFB9. RNAcentral describes it as "bacterial SSU rRNA". It matches the Rfam family "Bacterial small subunit ribosomal RNA", at positions 100 to 830 of the family's 1533-position model. The record is from RNAcentral.